Molecule: ribosomal RNA, 460 nt
Filed under: uncultured bacterium
Lineage: Bacteria
Description: partial 16S ribosomal RNA
Rfam family: Bacterial small subunit ribosomal RNA
Source: RNAcentral
CCUACGGGUGGCAGCAGUGAGGAAUAUUGGUCAAUGGGCGGAAGCCUGAACCAGCCAAGUAGCGUGCAGGAUGACGGCCCUACGGGUUGUAAACUGCUUUUAUACGGGAAUAACGCGCCUUACGUGUAGGGCUUUGCAUGUACCGUAUGAAUAAGGACCGGCUAAUUCCGUGCCAGCCACCGCGGUAAUACGGAAGGUACGGGCGUUAUCCGGAUUUAUUGGGUUUAAAGGGAGCGUAGGCCGCAUGUCAAGGGUGUCGUGAAAUGUCCGGGCUCAACCCGGGCCUUGCAGCGCGAACUGGCGUGCUUGAGUCCGCGGAAAGCAGGCGGAAUUCGUGGUGUAGCGGUGAAAUGCUUAGAUAUGACGAAGAACCCCGAUUGCGAAGGCAGCUUGCUGCAGCGGAACUGACGCUGAUGCUCGAAAGCGCGGGUAUCGAACAGGAUUAGAUACCCUUGUAGUC